UGGGGAAUUUUGGACAAUGGGCGAAAGCCUGAUCCAGCAAUGCCGCGUGUGUGAAGAAGGCCUUCGGGUUGUAAAGCACUUUUGUCCGGAAAGAAAUCCUUGGCUCUAAUACAGUCGGGGGAUGACGGUACCGGAAGAAUAAGCACCGGCUAACUACGUGCCAGCAGCCGCGGUAAUACGUAGGGUGCAAGCGUUAAUCGGAAUUACUGGCGCAAAGCGUGCGCAGGCGGUUUGCUAAGACCGAUGUGAAAUCCCCGGGCUCAACCUGGGAACUGCAUUGGUGACUGGCAGGCUAGAGUAUGGCAGAGGGGGGUAGAAUUCCACGUGUAGCAGUGAAAUGCGUAGAGAUGUGGAGGAAUACCGAUGGCGAAGGCAGCCCCCUGGGGCCAAUACUGACGCUCAUGCACGAAAGCGUGGGGAGCAAAACAGGAUUAGAUACCCUGGUAGUCCACGCCCUAAAACGAUGUCAACUAGUUGUUGGGGAUUCAUUUCCUUAGUAACGUAGCUAACGCGUGAAGUUGACCGCCUGGGGAGUACGGUCGCAAGAUUAAAACUCAAAUGAAUUGAC
This 568-nucleotide ribosomal RNA is filed under the name uncultured bacterium. RNAcentral describes it as "partial 16S ribosomal RNA". It matches the Rfam family "Bacterial small subunit ribosomal RNA", at positions 355 to 914 of the family's 1533-position model. The record is from RNAcentral.